UACGCAGGGGGCUAGCGUCGUUCGGAAUUACUGGGCGUAAAGCGCACGGAGGCGGAUUAGUAAGUCAGGGGUGAAAGCCCGGGGCUCAACCUCGGAACUGCCUUUGAUACUGCUGAUCUCGAGUCCGGAAGAGGUGAGUGGAAUUCCUAGUGUAGAGGUGAAAUUCGUAGAUAUUAGGAAGAACUCCAGUGGCGAAGGCGGCUCACUGGUCCGGUACUGACGCUGAGGUGCGAAAGCGUGGGGAGCAAACAGG
Molecule: ribosomal RNA, 253 nt
Filed under: uncultured bacterium
Lineage: Bacteria
Description: partial 16S ribosomal RNA
Rfam family: Bacterial small subunit ribosomal RNA
Source: RNAcentral